RNAcentral lists this ribosomal RNA (468 nucleotides) under uncultured bacterium. Its description in RNAcentral is "partial 16S ribosomal RNA". It matches the Rfam family "Bacterial small subunit ribosomal RNA", at positions 28 to 507 of the family's 1533-position model. The record is from RNAcentral.
GACGAACGCUGGCGGCGUGCUUAACACAUGCAAGUCGAACGGAAAGGCCCUGCUUUUGUGGGGUGCUCGAGUGGCGAACGGGUGAGUAACACGUGAGUAACCUGCCCUUGACUUUGGGAUAACUUCAGGAAACUGGGGCUAAUACCGGAUAGGAGCUCCUGCUGCAUGGUGGGGGUUGGAAAGUUUCGGCGGUUGGGGAUGGACUCGCGGCUUAUCAGCUUGUUGGUGGGGUAGUGGCUUACCAAGGCUUUGACGGGUAGCCGGCCUGAGAGGGUGACCGGCCACAAUGGGACUGAGAUACGGCCCAGACUCCUACGGGAGGCAGCAGUGGGGAAUAUUGCACAAUGGGCGGAAGCCUGAUGCAGCAACGCCGCGUGCGGGAUGACGGCCUUCGGGUUGUAAACCGCUUUCGCCUGUAACGAAGCGUGAGUGACGGUAAUGGGUAAAGAAGCACCGGCUAACUACGUG